UACGGAGGGGGCGAGCGUUAUUCGGAUUUACUGGGCGUAAAGGGUGCGUAGGCGGCCGCGCAAGUCUGGUGUGAAAUCUUCACCGCUCAACGGGAAGAGGUCACUGGAAACUGCGCGGCUCGAGUAUGGUAGAGGCAAGCGGAAUUCCUGGUGUAGCGGUGGAAUGUGUAGAUAUCAGGAAGAACACCCGUGGCGAAGGCGGCUUGCUGGGCCACUACUGACGCUGAGGCACGAAAGCGUGGGGAGCAAACGGGAUUAGAUACCCCCGUAGU
RNAcentral lists this ribosomal RNA (272 nucleotides) under uncultured prokaryote. RNAcentral describes it as "partial 16S ribosomal RNA". It matches the Rfam family "Bacterial small subunit ribosomal RNA", at positions 524 to 794 of the family's 1533-position model. The record is from RNAcentral.